Molecule: microRNA precursor, 71 nt
Filed under: Haemaphysalis longicornis (longhorned tick)
Lineage: Eukaryota; Metazoa; Arthropoda; Arachnida; Ixodida; Ixodidae
Description: mir-iab-4 microRNA precursor family
Rfam family: mir-iab-4 microRNA precursor family
Source: Rfam by way of RNAcentral
CGCCUGUUACGUAUACUGAAGGUAUACCGGAAAAUUACUUACUCAGGAUACAUUCAGUAUACGAACAGGAG